Molecule: ribosomal RNA, 649 nt
Filed under: Bacillus cereus
Lineage: Bacteria; Bacillati; Bacillota; Bacilli; Caryophanales; Bacillaceae
Description: bacterial SSU rRNA
Rfam family: Bacterial small subunit ribosomal RNA
Source: RNAcentral
AACCUGCCCAUAAGACUGGGAUAACUCCGGGAAACCGGGGCUAAUACCGGAUAACAUUUUGAACCGCAUGGUUCGAAAUUGAAAGGCGGCUUCGGCUGUCACUUAUGGAUGGACCCGCGUCGCAUUAGCUAGUUGGUGAGGUAACGGCUCACCAAGGCAACGAUGCGUAGCCGACCUGAGAGGGUGAUCGGCCACACUGGGACUGAGACACGGCCCAGACUCCUACGGGAGGCAGCAGUAGGGAAUCUUCCGCAAUGGACGAAAGUCUGACGGAGCAACGCCGCGUGAGUGAUGAAGGCUUUCGGGUCGUAAAACUCUGUUGUUAGGGAAGAACAAGUGCUAGUUGAAUAAGCUGGCACCUUGUUUUUUACCUAACCAGAAAGCCACGGCUAACUACGUGCCAGCAGCCGCGGUAAUACGUAGGUGGCAAGCGUUAUCCGGAAUUAUUGGGCGUAAAGCGCGCGCAGGUGGUUUCUUAAGUCUGAUGUGAAAGCCCACGGCUCAACCGUGGAGGGUCAUUGGAAACUGGGAGACUUGAGUGCAGAAGAGGAAAGUGGAAUUCCAUGUGUAGCGGUGAAUGCGUAGAGAUAUGGAGGAACACCAGUGGCGAAGCGACUUUCUGGUCUGUAACUGACACUGAGGCGCGAAA